GACGAACGCUGGCGGCGUGCCUAAUACAUACAAGUUGAGCGCUGAAGGUUGGUACUUGUACCAACUGGAUGAGCAGCGAACGGGUGAGUAACGCGUGGGGAACCUGCCUUUGAGCGGGGGACAACAUUUGGAAACGAAUGCUAAUACCGCAUAAAAACUUUAAACACAAGUUUUAAGUUUGAAAGAUGCAAUUGCAUCACUCAAAGAUGAUCCCGCGUUGUAUUAGCUAGUUGGUGAGGUAAAGGCUCACCAAGGCGAUGAUACAUAGCCGACCUGAGAGGGUGAUCGGCCACAUUGGGACUGAGACACGGCCCAAACUCCUACGGGAGGCAGCAGUAGGGAAUCUUCGGCAAUGGACGAAAGUCUGACCGAGCAACGCCGCGUGAGUGAAGAAGGUUUUCGGAUCGUAAAACUCUGUUGGUAGAGAAGAACGUUGGUGAGAGUGGAAAGCUCAUCAAGUGACGGUAACGACCCAGAAAGGGACGGCUAACUACGU
RNAcentral lists this ribosomal RNA (496 nucleotides) under uncultured bacterium. RNAcentral describes it as "partial 16S ribosomal RNA". It matches the Rfam family "Bacterial small subunit ribosomal RNA", at positions 28 to 506 of the family's 1533-position model. The record is from RNAcentral.